This 94-nucleotide ribosomal RNA is filed under the name Klebsiella pneumoniae. Its description in RNAcentral is "partial 23S ribosomal RNA". It matches the Rfam family "Bacterial large subunit ribosomal RNA", at positions 1 to 94 of the family's 2925-position model. Lineage: Bacteria; Pseudomonadati; Pseudomonadota; Gammaproteobacteria; Enterobacterales; Enterobacteriaceae. The record is from RNAcentral.
GGUCAAGUGAAGAAGCGCAUACGGUGGAUGCCUUGGCAGUCAGAGGCGAUGAAAGACGUGGUAGCCUGCGAAAAGCUUCGGGGAGUCGGCAAAC